RNAcentral lists this ribosomal RNA (2903 nucleotides) under Escherichia coli. RNAcentral's name for it is "23S ribosomal RNA". It matches the Rfam family "Bacterial large subunit ribosomal RNA". The record is from RNAcentral. Lineage: Bacteria; Pseudomonadati; Pseudomonadota; Gammaproteobacteria; Enterobacterales; Enterobacteriaceae.
UUAAGCGACUAAGCGUACACGGUGGAUGCCCUGGCAGUCAGAGGCGAUGAAGGACGUGCUAAUCUGCGAUAAGCGUCGGUAAGGUGAUAUGAACCGUUAUAACCGGCGAUUUCCGAAUGGGGAAACCCAGUGUGUUUCGACACACUAUCAUUAACUGAAUCCAUAGGUUAAUGAGGCGAACCGGGGGAACUGAAACAUCUAAGUACCCCGAGGAAAAGAAAUCAACCGAGAUUCCCCCAGUAGCGGCGAGCGAACGGGGAGCAGCCCAGAGCCUGAAUCAGUGUGUGUGUUAGUGGAAGCGUCUGGAAAGGCGCGCGAUACAGGGUGACAGCCCCGUACACAAAAAUGCACAUGCUGUGAGCUCGAUGAGUAGGGCGGGACACGUGGUAUCCUGUCUGAAUAUGGGGGGACCAUCCUCCAAGGCUAAAUACUCCUGACUGACCGAUAGUGAACCAGUACCGUGAGGGAAAGGCGAAAAGAACCCCGGCGAGGGGAGUGAAAAAGAACCUGAAACCGUGUACGUACAAGCAGUGGGAGCACGCUUAGGCGUGUGACUGCGUACCUUUUGUAUAAUGGGUCAGCGACUUAUAUUCUGUAGCAAGGUUAACCGAAUAGGGGAGCCGAAGGGAAACCGAGUCUUAACUGGGCGUUAAGUUGCAGGGUAUAGACCCGAAACCCGGUGAUCUAGCCAUGGGCAGGUUGAAGGUUGGGUAACACUAACUGGAGGACCGAACCGACUAAUGUUGAAAAAUUAGCGGAUGACUUGUGGCUGGGGGUGAAAGGCCAAUCAAACCGGGAGAUAGCUGGUUCUCCCCGAAAGCUAUUUAGGUAGCGCCUCGUGAAUUCAUCUCCGGGGGUAGAGCACUGUUUCGGCAAGGGGGUCAUCCCGACUUACCAACCCGAUGCAAACUGCGAAUACCGGAGAAUGUUAUCACGGGAGACACACGGCGGGUGCUAACGUCCGUCGUGAAGAGGGAAACAACCCAGACCGCCAGCUAAGGUCCCAAAGUCAUGGUUAAGUGGGAAACGAUGUGGGAAGGCCCAGACAGCCAGGAUGUUGGCUUAGAAGCAGCCAUCAUUUAAAGAAAGCGUAAUAGCUCACUGGUCGAGUCGGCCUGCGCGGAAGAUGUAACGGGGCUAAACCAUGCACCGAAGCUGCGGCAGCGACACUAUGUGUUGUUGGGUAGGGGAGCGUUCUGUAAGCCUGUGAAGGUGUGCUGUGAGGCAUGCUGGAGGUAUCAGAAGUGCGAAUGCUGACAUAAGUAACGAUAAAGCGGGUGAAAAGCCCGCUCGCCGGAAGACCAAGGGUUCCUGUCCAACGUUAAUCGGGGCAGGGUGAGUCGACCCCUAAGGCGAGGCCGAAAGGCGUAGUCGAUGGGAAACAGGUUAAUAUUCCUGUACUUGGUGUUACUGCGAAGGGGGGACGGAGAAGGCUAUGUUGGCCGGGCGACGGUUGUCCCGGUUUAAGCGUGUAGGCUGGUUUUCCAGGCAAAUCCGGAAAAUCAAGGCUGAGGCGUGAUGACGAGGCACUACGGUGCUGAAGCAACAAAUGCCCUGCUUCCAGGAAAAGCCUCUAAGCAUCAGGUAACAUCAAAUCGUACCCCAAACCGACACAGGUGGUCAGGUAGAGAAUACCAAGGCGCUUGAGAGAACUCGGGUGAAGGAACUAGGCAAAAUGGUGCCGUAACUUCGGGAGAAGGCACGCUGAUAUGUAGGUGAAGUCCCUCGCGGAUGGAGCUGAAAUCAGUCGAAGAUACCAGCUGGCUGCAACUGUUUAUUAAAAACACAGCACUGUGCAAACACGAAAGUGGACGUAUACGGUGUGACGCCUGCCCGGUGCCGGAAGGUUAAUUGAUGGGGUUAGCCGCAAGGCGAAGCUCUUGAUCGAAGCCCCGGUAAACGGCGGCCGUAACUAUAACGGUCCUAAGGUAGCGAAAUUCCUUGUCGGGUAAGUUCCGACCUGCACGAAUGGCGUAAUGAUGGCCAGGCUGUCUCCACCCGAGACUCAGUGAAAUUGAACUCGCUGUGAAGAUGCAGUGUACCCGCGGCAAGACGGAAAGACCCCGUGAACCUUUACUAUAGCUUGACACUGAACAUUGAGCCUUGAUGUGUAGGAUAGGUGGGAGGCUUUGAAGUGUGGACGCCAGUCUGCAUGGAGCCGACCUUGAAAUACCACCCUUUAAUGUUUGAUGUUCUAACGUGGACCCGUAAUCCGGGUUGCGGACAGUGUCUGGUGGGUAGUUUGACUGGGGCGGUCUCCUCCUAAAGAGUAACGGAGGAGCACGAAGGUUGGCUAAUCCUGGUCGGACAUCAGGAGGUUAGUGCAAUGGCAUAAGCCAGCUUGACUGCGAGCGUGACGGCGCGAGCAGGUGCGAAAGCAGGUCAUAGUGAUCCGGUGGUUCUGAAUGGAAGGGCCAUCGCUCAACGGAUAAAAGGUACUCCGGGGAUAACAGGCUGAUACCGCCCAAGAGUUCAUAUCGACGGCGGUGUUUGGCACCUCGAUGUCGGCUCAUCACAUCCUGGGGCUGAAGUAGGUCCCAAGGGUAUGGCUGUUCGCCAUUUAAAGUGGUACGCGAGCUGGGUUUAGAACGUCGUGAGACAGUUCGGUCCCUAUCUGCCGUGGGCGCUGGAGAACUGAGGGGGGCUGCUCCUAGUACGAGAGGACCGGAGUGGACGCAUCACUGGUGUUCGGGUUGUCAUGCCAAUGGCACUGCCCGGUAGCUAAAUGCGGAAGAGAUAAGUGCUGAAAGCAUCUAAGCACGAAACUUGCCCCGAGAUGAGUUCUCCCUGACUCCUUGAGAGUCCUGAAGGAACGUUGAAGACGACGACGUUGAUAGGCCGGGUGUGUAAGCGCAGCGAUGCGUUGAGCUAACCGGUACUAAUGAACCGUGAGGCUUAACCUU